AUUGAACGCUGGCGGCAUGCUUUACACAUGCAAGUCGAACGGUAACAGGCCUUCGGGUGCUGACGAGUGGCGAACGGGUGAGUAAUGCAUCGGAACGUGCCCAGAGGUGGGUGCUAACGCAGCGAAAGCUGUGCUAAUACCGCAUGUGAUCUGAGGAUGAAAGCGGGGGACCAAGCAGCAAUGUUUGGCCUCGCGCCUCUGGAGCGGCCGAUGUCAGAUUAGGUAGUUGGUGGGGUAAAGGCCUACCAAGCCGACGAUCUGUAGCUGGUCUGAGAGGACGACCAGCCACACUGGGACUGAGACACGGCCCAGACUCCUACGGGAGGCAGCAGUGGGGAAUUUUGGACAAUGGGCGCAAGCCUGAUCCAGCAAUGCCGCGUGCGGGAAGAAGGCCUUCGGGUUGUAAACCGCUUUUGUACGGAACGAAAAGGCUCUGGCUAAUACCUGGGGCUGAUGACGGUACCGUAAGAAUAAGCACCGGCUAACUACGUG
Molecule: ribosomal RNA, 492 nt
Filed under: uncultured bacterium
Lineage: Bacteria
Description: partial 16S ribosomal RNA
Rfam family: Bacterial small subunit ribosomal RNA
Source: RNAcentral